This 584-nucleotide ribosomal RNA is filed under the name uncultured bacterium. RNAcentral's name for it is "bacterial SSU rRNA". It matches the Rfam family "Bacterial small subunit ribosomal RNA", at positions 77 to 644 of the family's 1533-position model. The record is from RNAcentral.
AGCUUGCUCUUAUGAAGUUAGCGGCGGACGGGUGAGUAACACGUGGGUAACCUGCCCAUAAGACUGGGAUAACUCCGGGAAACCGGGGCUAAUACCGGAUAACAUUUUGAACUGCAUGGUUCGAAAUUGAAAGGCGGCUUCGGCUGUCACUUAUGGAUGGACCCGCGUCGCAUUAGCUAGUUGGUGAGGUAACGGCUCACCAAGGCAACGAUGCGUAGCCGACCUGAGAGGGUGAUCGGCCACACUGGGACUGAGACACGGCCCAGACUCCUACGGGAGGCAGCAGUAGGGAAUCUUCCGCAAUGGACGAAAGUCUGACGGAGCAACGCCGCGUGAGUGAUGAAGGCUUUCGGGUCGUAAAACUCUGUUGUUAGGGAAGAACAAGUGCUAGUUGAAUAAGCUGGCACCUUGACGGUACCUAACCAGAAAGCCACGGCUAACUACGUGCCAGCAGCUGCGGUAAUACGUAGGUGGCAAGCGUUAUCCGGAAUUAUUGGGCGUAAAGCGCGCGCAGGUGGUUUCUUAAGUCUGAUGUGAAAGCCCACGGCUCAACCGUGGAGGGUCAUUGGAAACUGGGAGACUUG